This 447-nucleotide ribosomal RNA is filed under the name uncultured bacterium. Its description in RNAcentral is "bacterial SSU rRNA". It matches the Rfam family "Bacterial small subunit ribosomal RNA", at positions 331 to 794 of the family's 1533-position model. The record is from RNAcentral.
CCAGACUCCUACGGGAGGCAGCAGUGGGGGAUAUUGGACAAUGGGGGAAACCCUGAUCCAGCGACGCCGCGUGAGUGAAGAAGUAAUUCGUUAUGUAAAGCUCUAUCAGCAGGGAAGAAUAAAUGACGGUACCUGAGUAAGAAGCCCCGGCUAACUACGUGCCAGCAGCCGCGGUAAUACGGAGGAUGCGAGCGUUAUCCGGAUUUAUUGGGUUUAAAGGGUGCGUAGGCGGGACGUUAAGUCAGCGGUAAAAAUGCGGAGCUCAACUCCGUCGAGCCGUUGAAACUGCCGUUCUUGAGUGAGCGAGAAGUAUGCGGAAUGCGUGGUGUAGCGGUGAAAUGCAUAGAUAUCACGCAGAACUCCGAUUGCGAAGGCAGCAUACCGGCGCUCAACUGACGCUGAAGCACGAAAGCGUGGGGAUCGAACAGGAUUAGAUCCCCUUGUAAA